This 403-nucleotide ribosomal RNA is filed under the name uncultured bacterium. Its description in RNAcentral is "bacterial SSU rRNA". It matches the Rfam family "Bacterial small subunit ribosomal RNA", at positions 32 to 446 of the family's 1533-position model. The record is from RNAcentral.
AAUCAACGCUGGCGGCGUGCCUAACACAUGCAAGUCGAACGAGAAAGUGGAGCAAUCCAUGAGUAAAGUGGCGCACGGGUGAGUAACACGUGACUAACCUACCCUUGAGUGGGGGAUAACCUAGGGAAACCUGGGCUAAUACCGCAUAAUACCUACGGGUCAAAGGAGCAAUUCGCUUUGGGAGGGGUCGCGGCCGAUUAGUUAGUUGGCAGGGUAAUGGCCUACCAAGACGAUGAUCGGUANCCGGCCUGAGAGGGCGCACGGACACACUGGAACUGAAACACGGUCCAGACUCCUACGGGAGGCAGCAGUGGGGAAUUUUGCGCAAUGGGAGAAACCCUGACGCAGCAACGCCGCGUGGAGGAUGAAGUCCCUUGGGACGUAAACUCCUUUCGAUCGGGAC